AGAAACUUAGGUUAAACUAAACCGAGGGCCUUCAAAGCCCCAAAUACGGGAUAAGCCCCCUAGUUUCUG
This 69-nucleotide transfer RNA is filed under the name Correlophus ciliatus (crested gecko). RNAcentral's name for it is "tRNA-Trp". It matches the Rfam family "tRNA". Rfam says of the family: Transfer RNA (tRNA) molecules are approximately 80 nucleotides in length. Their secondary structure includes four short double-helical elements and three loops (D, anti-codon, and T loops). Further hydrogen bonds mediate the characteristic L-shaped molecular structure. tRNAs have two regions of fundamental functional importance: the anti-codon, which is responsible for specific mRNA codon recognition, and the 3' end, to which the tRNAs corresponding amino acid is attached (by aminoacyl-tRNA synthetases). tRNAs cope with the degeneracy of the genetic code in two manners: having more than one tRNA (with a specific anti-codon) for a particular amino acid; and 'wobble' base-pairing, i.e. permitting non-standard base-pairing at the 3rd anti-codon position. The record is from RNAcentral. Lineage: Eukaryota; Metazoa; Chordata; Lepidosauria; Squamata; Diplodactylidae.